GAUGGCGUAGCUAAGUGGAAGAGCACAGGGCUGUGCCUUGGGGCUGCUAAUUCGAAUCCAGCCGUCGCCA
This is a transfer RNA of Phytophthora infestans T30-4, 70 nucleotides long. It matches the Rfam family "tRNA". Rfam says of the family: Transfer RNA (tRNA) molecules are approximately 80 nucleotides in length. Their secondary structure includes four short double-helical elements and three loops (D, anti-codon, and T loops). Further hydrogen bonds mediate the characteristic L-shaped molecular structure. tRNAs have two regions of fundamental functional importance: the anti-codon, which is responsible for specific mRNA codon recognition, and the 3' end, to which the tRNAs corresponding amino acid is attached (by aminoacyl-tRNA synthetases). tRNAs cope with the degeneracy of the genetic code in two manners: having more than one tRNA (with a specific anti-codon) for a particular amino acid; and 'wobble' base-pairing, i.e. permitting non-standard base-pairing at the 3rd anti-codon position. The record is from Rfam. Lineage: Eukaryota; Oomycota; Peronosporomycetes; Peronosporales; Peronosporaceae.